Molecule: ribosomal RNA, 497 nt
Filed under: uncultured bacterium
Lineage: Bacteria
Description: partial 16S ribosomal RNA
Rfam family: Bacterial small subunit ribosomal RNA
Source: RNAcentral
GAUGAACGCUGGCGGCGUGCCUAAUACAUGCAAGUCGAGCGAACGGACGAGAAGCUUGCUUCUCUUCAGUUAGCGGCGGACGGGUGAGUAACACGUGGAUACCCUACCUAUAAGACUGGGAUAACUUCGGGAAACCGGAGCUAAUACCGGAUAAUAUUUUGAACCGCAUGGUUCAUAAGAGAAAGACGGUCUUGCUGUCACUUAUAGAUGGAUCCGCGCUGCAUUAGCUAGUUGGUAAGGUAACGGCUUACCAAGGCAACGAUGCAUAGCCGACCUGAGAGGAUGAUCGGCCACACUGGAACUGAGACACGGUCCAGACUCCUACGGGAGGCAGCAGUAGGGAAUCUUCCGCAAUGGGCGAAAGCCUGACGGAGCAACGCCGCGUGAGUGAUGAAGGUCUUCGGAUCGUAAAGCUCUGUUAUUAGGGAAGAACAUAUGUGUAAGUAACUGUGCACAUCUUGACGGUACCUAAUCAGAAAGCCACGGCUAACUACGUG